UAAUUUCCCUGGCAGGUGAGAUAGCAAUGUUGUGUAGGUGGUUUUCCCGGGUGAGCCUCACCCAUUGCACUUUGGGUGUGCUGACCCCUGUGAUUUCCUCAAAUGUGAGGAAACUCAACUGCAUAAUUUGUGGUGGUGGGGACUGUGUUGUACUCUCUCCU
Phyllostomus discolor (pale spear-nosed bat) is the source of this 161-nucleotide small nuclear RNA. RefSeq annotates it as U1 spliceosomal RNA. Lineage: Eukaryota; Metazoa; Chordata; Mammalia; Chiroptera; Phyllostomidae. The transcript has a single exon. The record is from RefSeq and is a predicted model, not a curated record.